Triticum aestivum (bread wheat) is the source of this 115-nucleotide non-coding RNA. The record is from Rfam. Lineage: Eukaryota; Viridiplantae; Streptophyta; Magnoliopsida; Poales; Poaceae.
UUUGUACUCCCUCCGUUCCAAAUUACUCGUCGCAGAAAUGGAUGUAUCUAGAACUAAAAUACAUCUAGAUACAUCCAUACCUGCGACAAGUAAUUCGGAACUGAGGGAGUACUAC